GUGCCUUAACCAACACGCCAGCUGCUGGCCCCUUCAAGAGCACUUUAAAAACAGCAGAAAAAGCUAUGUUGCAGGACAGGCACCCUACAGCAAAAAUCUCUCCAAAAAAGAACGGAUGCUUCUGGAUCAUCCAAGCCACAGACCACACAGGGGCUCACAGCCCAACAAAGCAGGAGCACUGAAAAAGUGGCGAGAAAUGUUCUCUGGAAAAAUGAUCCGUGAUUAUGAAAAAUGCCUCCUGCUGUCACGGAGAGGAUGCGAGGGCCUCCUCGCUGCCCCGCACGGCUACAUACCAUCUCCACUUGGUCUAACAUCGGCCUUCCCUAAUCUCGGCACUUACAGGAGGUAUGGGUCUUCAUCUGGCCGAGGCUUUGUUCUUCACUUAGGGCCUGGGAAUACCACAGCCUGUCACACAGCUUCCAGGUGACCGAGAGGAGCCUCCGACCUGGUCUGCCAACAAGUCUAAGCAGUACCGGUCCCAGAACUCCACCAUUAUCACCAGAGUGCUGCCUGAUGACUCAGAGCAGCAGAGGUGGUGACCAAACCCAGCCGGCCCACCGGCUCAGGACCCAGCACACCGCAGCUUUCUGGUAGGUGCCCUGGAGGGUGGGGAUUCUGCUGCAGGCCCUGGCCAGGUGUUCCCUCCCUUUGCAGCACUAUAUUGAAGUGCAACCUCCAACACCUCAAAAAGAGACUGUGUCUGGGAGAACGCUGACAAGGCAGAGACAGAGACAGAGGUCUUUUGUGGGGUCCUAGAAAUGGGCACGUUUUCAUUUUGUGCAAUCUAUUUCCAAGUCCCCUCAUGGAGACACAAAAAGGCUCCUGCCACCAUGCCAGCCUGGCUCUUCUCUCUCCUCCCCACUCAGGGCCAAGGUCCUCUGCAGAGUUCCCCUCUGCAGAGCUGCCUCUCAGCAGCAACCCUCAACACGCAGGACAAAGACGCCAGAGUAAAACGCCAUGACUUUAA
Molecule: long non-coding RNA, 967 nt
Organism: Tupaia belangeri chinensis (Chinese tree shrew)
Lineage: Eukaryota; Metazoa; Chordata; Mammalia; Scandentia; Tupaiidae
Exons: 2
Source: RefSeq, a predicted model, not a curated record